UGGCUCAGUGGUUAAGAGCACUGAUUGCUCUUCAGAGGUCCUGAGUUCAAUUCUCAG
RNAcentral lists this transfer RNA (57 nucleotides) under Rattus norvegicus (Norway rat). It matches the Rfam family "tRNA", at positions 8 to 63 of the family's 71-position model. From Rfam's summary of the family: Transfer RNA (tRNA) molecules are approximately 80 nucleotides in length. Their secondary structure includes four short double-helical elements and three loops (D, anti-codon, and T loops). Lineage: Eukaryota; Metazoa; Chordata; Mammalia; Rodentia; Muridae. The record is from Rfam by way of RNAcentral.